AAACUUUCAACAACGGAUCUCUUGGCUCUGGCAUCGAUGAAGAACGCAGCGAAAUGCGAUAAGUAAUGUGAAUUGCAGAAUCCAGUGAAUCAUCGAAUCUUUGAACGCACAUUGCGCCCGCCAGCAUUCUGGCGGGCAUGCCUGUUCGAG
RNAcentral lists this ribosomal RNA (150 nucleotides) under Beauveria amorpha. RNAcentral's name for it is "5.8S rRNA". It matches the Rfam family "5.8S ribosomal RNA". From Rfam's summary of the family: 5.8S ribosomal RNA (5.8S rRNA) is a component of the large subunit of the eukaryotic ribosome. It is transcribed by RNA polymerase I as part of the 45S precursor that also contains 18S and 28S rRNA. RNAcentral also lists the same sequence under 1 other name. The record is from RNAcentral. Lineage: Eukaryota; Fungi; Ascomycota; Sordariomycetes; Hypocreales; Cordycipitaceae.